UUAAGUUCAGCGGGUAUCCCUACCUGAUCCGAGGUCAAACGAGGAAAUAUCGACUGAGGCAGGCGCGCCCGGAGACUCCUGGAGCGAGGGAUAAUUCUUGCUACGCUCGGAGCCGGACGGUACCGCCAGUAGGUUCCAGGCGAGCCCGCAGGCUCGACCCAAGGCCAAGUUUGUACAGCGUACGCUUGAUGUUUUAACGA
RNAcentral lists this unclassified non-coding RNA (200 nucleotides) under Dothideomycetes sp. Its description in RNAcentral is "partial internal transcribed spacer 2". The record is from RNAcentral. Lineage: Eukaryota; Fungi; Ascomycota; Dothideomycetes.